RNAcentral lists this ribosomal RNA (433 nucleotides) under uncultured bacterium. RNAcentral describes it as "partial 16S ribosomal RNA". It matches the Rfam family "Bacterial small subunit ribosomal RNA", at positions 29 to 507 of the family's 1533-position model. The record is from RNAcentral.
AACGAACGCUGGCGGCAUGCCUAACACAUGCAAGUCGAACGAGACCUUCGGGUCUAGUGGCGCACGGGUGCGUAACGCGUGGGAACCUGCCCUUAGGUUCGGAAUAACUCCCCGAAAGGGGUGCUAAUACCGGAUAAUGUCUUCGGACCAAAGAUUUAUCGCCUUUGGAUGGGCCCGCGUUGGAUUAGCUAGUUGGUGGGGUAAAAGCCUACCAAGGCGACGAUCCAUAGCUGGUCUGAGAGGAUGAUCAGCCACACUGGGACUGAGACACGGCCCAGACUCCUACGGGAGGCAGCAGUGGGGAAUAUUGGACAAUGGGCGAAAGCCUGAUCCAGCAAUGCCGCGUGAGUGAUGAAGGCCGUAGGGUUGUAAAGCUCUUUUACACGGGAUGAUAAUGACAGUACCGGGAGAAUAAGCUCCGGCUAACUCCGUG